CUUGUCAAAAUCCACUCUAUUCGUUGUCGAUACUCCCCCGAUCUCUCGGGCGGAAGCUACCUACCACGAAUGAUAUUAACGCGCGUCAAUCGUUCGCUACACUCUAUGCCUCAAUCUCUCGACCGGAGACACUCGAGCGCUCAAUGCAAUUCAGUUCAGAAAUUAAAUCAAUACUCUCGCACGUGACUUAACUCGAAAUCAUUACAACACUAAUGAAGGAUUAUAAAGCAUUAUGCAUCGAAUUGCAUUAAACCAACACUAUGAAAAGAGUAGAUUCUUACACAUAUAGCCGAUUACAACUGAUCUAUCUACAUCCUAGACUAUCCUAGAUCCUACCUCCGAAGAAGCUUAGCUCCUCAUCUCCCUUUGUUCGCGUCCGAGCUUCAAUGUCAUGGCUUGUGAAUCCAUGCUAUCCCUGAGCUUGGAGCUAUCCUCUGGAGUCUUGAAUCCCAAUCUUGAAGUUCCAAACCCAGAAUGUAGAUCAAAUUUGCAGAAUUUUCCAACCCGAAAACAGAAUUAUGCAGAAACUAUAUAUACAGAAUGCAACCAUGCCGCGCGCCAGAUCUAUCACGCCGCGCGUGGUUGCAGAUCCAUCAACUACGCCGCGCGUGAUAACGGUAUCACGCGGCGCGUGAUCAAGUCAGAGAGCAAUCUUCUUCUUGAAC
Molecule: long non-coding RNA, 665 nt
Filed under: Trifolium pratense (red clover)
Lineage: Eukaryota; Viridiplantae; Streptophyta; Magnoliopsida; Fabales; Fabaceae
Description: long non-coding RNA (TPRA_LNC006626)
Source: RNAcentral